AGUGAACGCUGGCGGUAGGCCUAACACAUGCAAGUCGAACGGCAGCACAGUAAGAGCUUGCUCUUACGGGUGGCGAGUGGCGGACGGGUGAGGAAUACAUCGGAAUCUACUUUUUCGUGGGGGAUAACGUAGGGAAACUUACGCUAAUACCGCAUACGACCUACGGGUGAAAGCAGGGGAUCUUCGGACCUUGCGCGAUUGAAUGAGCCGAUGUCGGAUUAGCUAGUUGGCGGGGUAAAGGCCAACCAAGGCGACGAUCCGUAGCUGGUCUGAGAGGAUGGUCAGCCACACUGGAACUGAGACACGGUCCAGACUCCUACGGGAGGCAGCAGUGGGGAAUAUUGGACAAUGGGCGCAAGCCUGAUCCAGCCAUACCGCGUGGGUGAAGAAGGCCUUCGGGUUGUAAAGCCCUUUUGUUGGGAAAGAAAAGCAGCAGGUUAAUACCCCGCUGUUCUGACGGUACCCAAAGAAUAAGCACCGGCUAACUUCGUG
Molecule: ribosomal RNA, 492 nt
Filed under: uncultured bacterium
Lineage: Bacteria
Description: partial 16S ribosomal RNA
Rfam family: Bacterial small subunit ribosomal RNA
Source: RNAcentral